AAAACCCGAAACUUCUCAAAGUGAUCUAUCUUCUCAAUUCUUCAAAAGUGAUAUUAUUUUGGAAUUUGGGCUUCGAGAAUAAACAGUUAAUGACUCUUUAGCAUAGAACGAUACUGCAAAAACACAAUAAGAACUAGAAAGACAAUCUUGUUAACAUACAAAUGAGGAUAAUGUCCAUAUAAUAGUUGCAUCUCCUGAUCUGUAAUCCUAGGCCGAUAACGUGGAAGCAUCUGGGUCUUGCCGCGAUCUUCUGAUGGAGGACGAACGACAUGAAUCUGUGACUUUUUAGUACAUAGGAAGAAGGGGGCGUAUGAUUUAACUAUCAGAAGGAUUUGGCGAUAUUAGAAGCAGAUGAGACGAAUAUUGGAUUCGCCACAGGAUGAUAAUUGGUUUUUAGACUCUAAGCUUCAACGAGAGUUCUUGAAGAAUUGGAUGACUAGUGAUUUUAGGGAUUGUAAAGUCAAUCGUUGGGAAAAAAAUAGCAAAACCAAAUCUGAAAAAAAAAGAAAUAAAAAAGAUGAGAAGAUAUAAAAAAAAUAGACUUUACUAGUUAUAUAUAUAAAAUCAGGUUUAAUCUUUUCUAGGAUUCACCACUAAUUUUUGAAUUUCGAAAAUCCAAUCAAACCAAAAUCUCCUAACUAAAAUUCAACUCACUAGUUACGCUCAUAAGAGGGCAUUUUGAGUCUUUUCACUUAGAAGCUGCUCUAGUAGCACAAACUGCCCUAAAGCAUUAAUAAAACUCGUAAACUGUCUAUAAAUGACUCAAGAAUAUUAGAGCAAAAUUAUUUUUUUUUACAAAAAGAUGUCCAUAUUUCUAGUUUAUUUCUUUUAAGGCCCAUCAGCCCAGUUAGCCAUUAAUGGGACUCUUGUUAACUAGUCCAACUGAACACGUCCCCACACAUAUUGUCAUGGGCGGUUUCUACAAACGCCACGUUUAGCGUUUCAUUUAGACAAACGCGGAAAAAAGGUAGAGUCCCCUUUAGCGUUUCUCUCACCCUCCUUUUUUAUUAGUCUGGGUUUCUCGAAUUUAGUGUAAAGUUUGAAUCUUUCGGGGAGAAGUUAUAAUUGAUAAGUGUAGAGCUUUGCUCUGUUUUUGCAAUUGAUUCUCUUUUGCUCUGUUUUUGUGUGUAAUGAAAAGAGGACACUGAAAGCUGGGAAGUUGAAUGAGAGAGUUCUAAGACUGUUUAUGGCGUCUGGAAACGAAGAAGUUCUUUCUGUUAUCGACGCUCUUAAAAUCAAAAUCGACGUCACUCCCAUUAUUCCUACUCGAUGUCAUGAGAGAUUUGGAUUGAACGAAAUGGACUAGACGCUAAGUUCCCUAGUUGAAUGAUGAUGGCAAUGAGCGGGUUUUGAAGCUCGGUCCCUUCUGUUGAAAUGUCGGUUCCUAAUUUCGUCAAGGCAGAAACAACGAUCUGGAUCAGAAGUGAAGAUACAUUGAUGGAACAUGGAGUAUGUAUGUUAUUAAUAACAACGUUCUUCUUCUUCUUGUGUGUAAGUAUUAGCGGGAUGAGGUCUAAUUGUAUAAGUUUUUUGUUCCCGUUCCUAUGAAAGUUUGUAUGCAAUCAUGGAAGGUUCUUGUUUGCUGCAGAGUUCUGUUUUAAGUUUCUAUUCUAUUGUUUGGUCACCUGACUUUCCAGUUCCAUGUUAUUCAAGUAUAUAGCUCAAGUCCAGUUCCAUCUUAUUUGAGUUAUAUGUAAGAUAUGAUAUUUGUUCUGUCUACAUCUGUUGAGACUAAACACCUCCUGUUUAAACUUUGCGGAAGAAUCAGAAUCAUCGCACAUUCUUGCAACUCUCGUGACUUCCAAUGAGAUAAGAAAGCCAUCAGGACAUCCCAAAAUAAGUUCUAGCCUAAGCUGAUUAGAAUGCGGAAGAUAAUGGGCCGAAACGACACAAGAAGUGGUUAGCAAAAUGAACAAGAUGAAAAUGUGAAAACGAAACUAAGGAGAUAAUAUUAAAAAUGAAUGUUAAAGGUGGUGGAAUGGUAUGGUGACAUAAGAAAUGGUGUUACCAAGGAAGCUGCCCUUGUCGGCCAGUCCCUAUCUCUUCACACUUGGCAUUACCAUAUAGGAAGGUUCAGAGAUCAAUUUGAACCCAAAUCAGUUAAAUUCGUAUUAUUUGUCGUUUGGCUAAUUAGCUCUGCUUUCUUAUCCUUAGGUGAAACGUUGUUUUCGCCGUUUGUUUUUCUCCUCUAGUUUUCUUGUGAUGUAAAAAACAUACUGUAUUAUUACGUGCAGAUAAUAAUCUGAUUGUUUCAAACGCAUGUCUACGCUUGUAUUUUUUUGUUAUCAUAUGUUUUUUUUUUUGUUAUCAUAUGUUACUUCGUUAUCGCUGACUUUUCUGUCUUGAGAUAAUGAUAUCAUCGCAGCCGGCUAAAUGGUGUCAUUGGGUCCGGAGAAA
Brassica napus (rape) is the source of this 2397-nucleotide long non-coding RNA. RefSeq lists it as uncharacterized. Lineage: Eukaryota; Viridiplantae; Streptophyta; Magnoliopsida; Brassicales; Brassicaceae. The transcript has 3 exons. The record is from RefSeq and is a predicted model, not a curated record.